UUCCUUUUCUUUUUCUAUUUGUUUUUUUCUUUUUCCAGCAGCAUUUUGCCUUUUCUUUUAGCCACAAAUGACCUUGGAAAAUUAUGCCAAUGGCUAAAACAAUUCCAAAGAAUUAUUGUGCACUUCCACAAAAAGUUUGGGGCCAUGAGGAGUUGUCCAAGCAUUUUUAGAAAAUGAAAAGGACAUCUUAAAUACUGCUGGACCAGAUAAUAAAUUCCCAGGGACAAUUUGGGAAUUCCAAGAAAUGUUGGCUUCAACAUGGCAAAUAUCUAGGGAUUAUUUGCCAUAGGAUGAACUAUUUUAUUUGCAUGAAAGAAGAAGAAAAUAUUUGACAUGCAAUUUGAAUUUGAAGCAGAUUUUGGACAAGUGGCAUUUUGGCAUGAUGAUCAUGAUGACAUGACCUUCAUUAGGGGGAGAUUACUGUAGUGUGAUGCUGGGGAUGUUACAAAUCUCCUCCACUACAAGAAAUCUCGUCCCGAGAUUUUAGUGGGGAAGUAAAGAGUAACUUCGGGUGAACUGACCCUUAUAGGGUGAAUUGUCUGGUGAACAAUGCAGGGGAUGUGAGAAAAGUAUCUCUCGAGUUGAAAUUUAAGAAAACGUCGAGAGCAAAAUAUGAAGGUACAAUAAGAAGUUUCAAGCGAAUGGACAGACGAUCGAUACCUGAACAGAGUGUGGGAAUGGUUCAGAGCAUCGGGAAUAGAUCAUCUCUCGGAGGGUGGCUCGUGAUAACACACAAAGCCAAGAGCAUAAGAUACUUCGGCACCAAGGUUGUACAGGAGAGUCAGGCUUUGAUCUUGUGGAACUGUGGGUUAUGGGCCCACCAUGUGGGUUAAAAGUAGGAAGGGCGGAGACGUCUUGCGUGAUCAUGCAAGCAAGGCAUGUCAGAGGGUAGCCUGUCGAUUAUGUCGGCAACAACGUCGAUACCAAGGGCGAGGGACGAAGAGAACCAUUUUCCUGCUCGUUGAAGGAGGUGGACCAAUAGGCAAAGUUCUCGUCCAUCGGUGGCUACCGGAAUGUCAUCAACAGUAGAAACAAGGUCUCAUUGACAGAGUUGUACACCAAGGUGUUUACAUAAGCAGUGAAUUAUUACUGCUUAGAUCAUACAAUUCACAAGAAAGGUUAAACAAAACAAUGGAAAGGAAAAGGUGAUCAUCAGAUUAAAAAGAACAAUGGAAAGGAAAAUGUGUUUAAACACAUAUUUCAGGGAUAUAUCCUUCCCAAUGACAAGCAGAGCAUGCUAUCCGUGGAAGGGUAUAAUGUAGAAAACCCUUUAGAUAGGGGAGAGACUUUUCAUGACAUUACCCAUACAGCGGUGUUUGGAUAAUUGAGCAGGAAACAUUUAGCAUCGGACUUCAAAUGUUCCUGUUGAAAAUCGGAGUACCAUAGUCGUGCAUCGAGAUAGCCUUGACAUGGUUAUCAGGUGAAGAUCAGACUUUAGAAACACAAAGGAUCCAUCAGGAACCGUUUGUAGAAUAAGUCUUACAAUUUCCUCAUGGAAGAAAGGAUAGCCUUGCUAAAAAGGAAAUGGUAACAAUAGGUCCUCCGGCCAGGUGUGUUAGGCACGAUAUCACCUUACCGGGUCAUAUACAGACCAUUGUUAUUACUCUUGGAAAUAUGUUCCCACCAUCAUAUCUGAUUGAGGUUCAGAUCUAAUUGGUGUCGGGAUACCUCAGACUCGGGAUGCCUGAGAAUAAAAGGCGCAACACCAUUGCGAGAUGACAUUGUAAGAUUCUCGGGAAACGAACUAUGGAAGCAAGUUCUGAGACAAGGGUUCAUCAUUAAAUCAAGGAGAGGUGAGGAGGUGACUGAUUGACUCAGCGACAAUCCAUUGAGAUUUCCAAAAGAUGGAUUUCCACAACUAUGUGAACAAGGAGAUAACAGUAGCUAGAUCGAAUGACUUAAUGAUGUAUGCUCGAGGAAAACAUACACAGUUAAACAUUGAUUGAAAUGUGCACCCGAAAUAUGGGCUAGGUAGCACGAUCAAUGUUCGAAUGAUGAUACAAUAAGCCAUAGACGUAGAAUGAAACUAUAGACCAAUAACUUCAAAGCAAUAGGGUUGCUAGGAGUUUAGAAUUUACACAUCACAGACCAUUUGUCGGUAUUUCAUUUAGAAACAACACGGGGACCAAGAAAGAAUGGUGAUGGUGAGAAGUAUCACUGUACCAAGAAUUCUUAAGAGGUGGAGUAAUGCUCAUGACAUUCUUGAUAUCAAAGAUGGUCAUACUCCACGGUAGAACAUAACAUAAGUUGGAUAGCAGGGAAAACAAGAUACAACACAAAAUAUGAACAAGUUUGUGUUGGGGGGAGGCAAGAAUGUUGUCGAUGAUAACACAAUUCAUCGAGGGGCAAGGAUGGUAUUUCUCAUCCUGAAUUUCAACACACAACUUGGAAGAAGUCAAACUAUCAUGACAAAUUUGUUGAGAGGUUUUCAAGAAGAUGUAAUUGAUCGACGAUGACAUCAAGUCAAAGGAAUGAUGAAAGCGAAAGGUUAUUGGAACCACAGGUAGGACACAAACUCGAAAUCAAGUUUGCUGUUCAAGGAGAAGUGAUAUGACGAGGAAGAUCGACGCAAGAUUAGCUCACUAUCGAAAUUUGUGCGCUGGGAAGGACCAGGUAGCACAGUUAAAAUCGGCACGAUAAUGACAUAGCCGAGCAGGCUAGGGAUGACGUGAUCGAGUAUGAACUCGUAAGCAAAGGAGAUUACUAAGAGUUGUUUAAUCGUGAUGCGGACUUGAUUCAGUUAUCGAUGUCUUUGAGUGUUUAAUAACUCGGAGCCUGUGAAAAUUGGAAUCAAUGAGAAUGUAAUACUUGAUGGAGAACUCAUAAGAAGUUAUGCAGUUCCGUGAUAAUCUCGAGAUACCAGGGGGUAAUACUCGACGACAAAACAAAGUAGAGGUUGGACUGGGGUAUUGCUCUAUAGAAGACAAGUGCUUAAACUUGUACGAGAAAUGGUAUUUAAAGGAGAACAUGGUCGAAACCAUGAUUGCAAAAGGCCAGAUCCCAGAUAUAAAUGAACUUAUACCGAGGGAAUAAUUAACUUAAGAGAAGCUUAAAUGAUAAGAUCUACAUCGUGUCCAUGGGCAUGAACGCAAAGUUCAAGGUCGACUCCCACUUCUUCAAUGCAUAACCUUUCAUUCACUUCUCGUGUUUGAUGAAGUUGCAGUAUUGAAAAUUUUUAUCUGGCAAAAUACCAGAAGAGUAUGACUCAUGAAAACUUUCGAGUUCACACAUAUUAUGAAAGGCAUAGGUUCAACCCAUCGGGGCAUCGUGGAAACAUAUACCACAAGCUUCAGGGGUAAAUAACUCAAGCUCGAUAGUAGAGCAUGGGUGACAAAACAAGAGGAUACAAUUUACUAAAGGCAUUAUGUAUCAGGGAAAGAACUUCCAAAGUGAUUGAAUAUGAAGGACGUUGUCGGAUAAAAUCCAACAAGAUUCUGAUGGUCCAUAAAGGAUCUGAUGUGAGUACCAGCACACAACCAGAGGAAGAAUCAAUGCAAAGACCUUGGAUUAUAGAAACAACUAAGUAACUUAGAGCUCAAUCGCAAAGGAAUUAUGAUUUACAAAGCGAAGGAUCAGAAACAGACGCUCUGAUCAAGGAUGGAUAAGUUCAAUAGACAUAGGGGCACAAUCGACGACAAUUUGAUUGGCGAGAACCAGCUCAUGUUCAAAAUGACGUCUGAGCCAGAAAGAUAAUUUAAAAGGAUCAAUUGAUGAUUGCGUGCAUUCGCACUCAUGUUGAAUCAAUAGGAUCAAAAUGACGGUGCCUAAGGAUACUAACGAAUAUUGCCAGACAUAUGGAAAGCAUCCAUAAUGCAAGCAGACAAGUAUGGCAGAGCAAUAAGCUACUAAGGAUUUUUUUUGGAGGAUUGAAUAGUAUUUCGAAGACCAUUGUGAAACACAUGAACAACUAGGGGAUGAGCAGAUACUCGAUAAGGGCGAGAAAUUAUCCGUAGGGGUAUUCAUGUGGCAAAGAACUGCAAGGCAGUAGGCACAAAAUAUUCUCGGAACAAUAGAGAGGAUUUUAGGGUAUCUUGUAAUGACAAAAUCAACUAGGAAUAAAAGUAAGAACAGCAAGUGUAUGUAUUUAUCCAUAGGGAUAUUUCGGUGGUAGGGAAUUGCAAAAGCAACGGGCACAAAGUCUCAAAAGAGUAUCGGGGAGUAACUUCAAAAUCUUCUGGUGCAGUAGGCGAUCAUCUGUGAUAAGGGGCUCUCCGGGAUAACUAGUUACGAGAACCUAGAGUCAGAUUUAGUAAAAUCAUUUAACCCGAAUAGAAGAGAGAUCAGAGUCCCGGAGUAAAGAUCGAGGAGUAAAAGAUCCUAAUACCACCCAAAUGGCGACGUGGGCCCAUAAGGCACACAUCCAUGUUAGUAAAAGUUUUGUAAUGUCUAGACUCAACUUCGGCCAAGGAGUUGGAAGGGGGAUUCCUACAGGCAGUUGGCUCUGAUACCAACUUAUGAUGCCCCUGAUUUGACCGUACACUAAUCAUGCACGCAAAUGUGUACGAUCAAGAUCAGGAACUCACGGGAAGAUAUCACAACACAACUCUACCACAUAAAUAAGUCAUACAAGCAUCAUAAUACAAGCCAGGGGCCUCAAGGGCUCGAAUACAAGUGCUCGAUCAUAGACGAGUCAGCGGAAGCAACAAUAUCUGAGUACAGACAUAAGUUAAUCAAGUUUGCCAUAAGAAGGCUAGCACAAACUGCGAUACAGAUCGAAAGAGGCGUAGGCCUCCUGCCUGGGAUCCUCCUAACUACUCCUGGUCGUCGUCAGCGGCCUGCACGUAGUAGUAGGCACCUCCGGUGUAGUAGGAGUCAUCGUUGACGGUGGCGUCUGGCUCCUGGGCUCCAGCAUCUGGUUGCGACAACCAGGUAAAGGGAAAGGGGGAAAAGAGGGAGAAAAGCAACCGUGAGUACUCAUCCAAAGUACUCGCAAGCAAGGAGCUACACUACAUAUGCAUGGGUAUAUGUGUAAAGGGCCAUAUUGGUGGACUGAACUGCAGAAUGCCAGAAUAAGAGGGGGAUAGCUAAUCCUGCCGAAGACUACGCUUCAGGCCACCUCCAUCUUGCAGCAUGUAGAAGAGAGUAGAUGGUAAGUUCACCAAGUAGCAUCGCAUAGCAUAAUCCUACCCGGCGAUCCCCUCCUCGUCGCCCUCUUAGAGAGCGAUCAUCGGGUUAUAUCUGGCACUUGGAAGGGUUUGUUUUAUUAAGUAUCUAGUUCUAGUUGUCAUAAGGUCAAGGUACAACACCGGAUCGUCCUUUUACCGAGGGACACGGCUAUUCGAAUAGAUAAACUUCCCUGCAGGGGUGCACCACAUAACCCAACACGCUCGAUCCCAUUUGGCCGGACACACUUUCCUGGGUCAUGCCCGGCCUCGGAAGAUCAACACGUCGCAGCCCUACCUAAGCACAACAGAGAGGUCAGCACGCCGGUCUAAAUCCUAUGGCGCAGGGGUUUGGGCCCAUCGCCCAUUGCACACCUGCACGUUGCGAGGGCGGCUGAAAGCAGACCUAGCCUAGUAGGCGUUCCAGUCCAAUCCGGCGCGUGCCGCUCAGUCGCUGACGUCACGAAGGCUUCGGCUGAUACCACGACGUCGAGUGCCCAUAACUAUUCCCGCGUAGUUGGUUAGUGCGUAUAGACCAAAUGGCCAGACUCAGAUCAAAUACCAAGAACUCGUUAAGCGUGUUAUUUUGAAGUAACCGCGGACGCCGUCCAGGGCCAGGCCCACCUCUCGCCUAGGCGGUCUCAACCUGCCCUGUCGCUCAGCCACAAAGAUCCACCCAGAGGGCCGUCGGGACAAAGGUCCUUUCAGCCCCCAAUCCGUGAAUCACUCGCGGGUACUCCUCGAGCCGACCCGACUUUUGUCACCACAUGUAUCAUGUAUAAAGUAUAUAGUAUAUACCCGUGAUCACCUCCCGAAGUGAUCACGGCCCAGUAGUAUAGCAUGGCAGACGGACAAGAGUGUAGGGCCACUAAUGGAACACUAGCAUCUUAUACUAAGCAGUAGGAUAGCAGGUAAGGGUAACAACUAUAGUAACAAUGACAGGCUAUGCAGCAGAAUAGGAUUAACCGAAAGCAGUAAUAUGCUACACUACUCUAAUGCAAGCAGUAUAGAGAAGAAUAGGCGAUAUCUGGUGAUCAAGGGGGGGCUUGCCUGGUUGCUCUGGCAAGGAGGGGUCAUCGUCGACGUAGUCGAUCACAGGGGCGGCAUCGGUCUCGGGGUCUACCGGAGAGAAGAGGGGGAAGAAACAAUAAAUAUAAAAGCAAGCAUAGCAUCACAAAGCAUAACAUGGAAAUAUGCUGUGCUGGGGGUGACCUAACGUAUGGCUACACGAUAAAGGUGAAGGGGGAAUUCAACCGUGAAUGAUUUCCCGGUUCCGGACCUGUGUCAGACAGAUGACCGGAGGGGGGAAUGCUCCAUGCUCAGGUAGUUAGAGGCAUCUGACAGGAAAACGGACCGCGUAUUCGGAUUCGUUGGAUUUUUCUGAGCAAUUUUCAUGUUUAAGUUUUUCCAUCCGAGCUACGCUUUAUUUUCUAUGAUUUUCUAAAGUUUUAAUAGUUUUCUGAAAUUAUUUAAAUUAAUAGAAUUAACAGAAAAGGGACAUGACUUCAGCAUGACGUGUGGGUGACGUCAGCAGUCAACACAGGUCGGCUGACCAGGUCAAACCUGACCCGUGGGUCCAGCGGAACCCACAUGUCAGCCUCUGUUAGCUUAACAGUGGAUUAAACUAAUCUAACUAAGCAAAUUAGGGGUGUGGGCCCCAUAUGUCAGUGAGUGUUUAGGCUAGUAUAAUUACUUGUUUUUAUAAAAACGUUUAUUAAACUAAUUAUCAGAGUGGGGGCCCACAUGUCUGUGACAGAAGCCGGCCCAGUCAGCGUUGACCUCGGUCAACUGGUCAAAGUGGGGCACCUCGGCCCACUAGUCAGUGGCUGGGGCCUGCCCAGUCAGCAGUUGACUAAAGUCAACAGGGCAGCCGAGCCCCGAGGGCCCACGGGUCAGCGACCCAGGGGCGGGGCCCACUGAGCCACGUUGGCGUCGGCGCCGGAGAGAGCUCUGGCGACCAAAUCGCGCGGCGGGGGUGGUCGGAAAUCGCCGUCCGGCGGCCAAAACAACGGCGAUUGGUCGCGUUCGAACGGGAGCAAUGUUCCGCGUCGAUCUACGGCACGAGCGCGAGCUGAAAAGGCCGAUGCCGUGCGCUAGAUCGUCGCCGGCGGAGAACGGAGUCGGUUGUCAGUGGAACCGGAGCUGCACAGCACGGGGAGGCGCACUAGUGGUGGCUCUGGUUCACACGAGCUCUAGGAGCUCGAUGCGAGGUUCAGCCGCACGUGACAGUGGCGAUGGCCACGGAGGCGAGCUCAUCGGCGGCGAUGCGUGCUAGUACCAGUGGAGCGGCGGCUACGGGCGAACGGGGUGCCGCAGGGAGGGGGGAAGGAAACAGAGGCUCACCGGGAGCCUGCAGGUGUGCAAUCGUGGGCUCGGGGGAGGCUCGGUGGAGCGAAUCGACGACGGCCGGUUCGGGGCAGAGGAGGAAGAAGAGGUCGCGGUGGUGCUGCUGGGCCGUCCCGGUCCGCGUGGCUCGGCGGGGAGGAUGAGGAGGUCGAGGCAGAGCCUUGGGGCACGUCGGCGAGGCGAACAUCGGCCGGUGGCUGCGGUGGAGUGCGGUGAGCGGUGACGGAGAGGCGCGGCCCAGGCGGAUCUGCAGGGAAGAGAGCGCAGGCGAGAGAGAGAGAGAGGGAACGAGGAGGGCAGGUGAGUGGGGGAGUGGGAGAGGGGAUCGAGGGGGCGCGGGCUGCCUUAUCCCCUUGUCGGAGCCGGUGAGGGGGUCCGGUGGAGACGCGCGCGUGCGGUCGCUCGCAAAGUGGGGAGGGGGAAGACGACAGGGGGGGAGUGGGCCGGCCGAGCUGCGCCAGUUGGCUCGGGUGGGCCGGAGCCCAAGGGGAGGCCAGGGGGCUCUCCCACCCCUUCUUCUUUCCUUUUCUUUUUCUAUUUGUUUUUUUUCUUUUUCUAGCAGCAUUUUGCCUUUUCUUUUAGCCACAAAUGACCUUGCAAAAUUAUGCCACUGGCUAAAACAAUUCCAAAGAAUUAUUGUGCACAGCCACAAAAUGUUUGGGGCCUUCAGGAGUUGUCCAAGCAUUUUUAGAAAAUGAAAAGGACAUCUUAAAUACUGCUGGACUAGAUAAUAAAUUCCCAGG
RNAcentral lists this long non-coding RNA (8191 nucleotides) under Triticum aestivum (bread wheat). RNAcentral describes it as "long non-coding RNA (TAES_LNC009345)". The record is from RNAcentral. Lineage: Eukaryota; Viridiplantae; Streptophyta; Magnoliopsida; Poales; Poaceae.